Passer domesticus (house sparrow) is the source of this 592-nucleotide long non-coding RNA. RefSeq lists it as uncharacterized. NCBI's taxonomy places the organism in Eukaryota, Metazoa, Chordata, Aves, Passeriformes, Passeridae. The transcript has 3 exons. The record is from RefSeq and is a predicted model, not a curated record.
AGGGCACAACACAACCGUCGUUCGUUGUGUUGACACACUCUGCACCCUGCUCCUGCCCUCGCCUUUUACUCCUCUUAUCCCCCUGAUACCCCCAUCAUUCGUGACAGCUCCUGAGUGACAGGAUUUCAUCAUCCAGCCCUGCAGGAUGCUCCCCUUUGUUCUGACGAUGGCUGUCCCAGACAGAGAGGAAGAGAUGGAGAUAGAUACUAAGAUUGAUGUGGAGGAGAAGAUGGAAAUAGAUGGAGAAGACCCUGGAGAGGAAGAAAUGGAUGUGGAUGUGGAGGAGGAAGAACAGAUGGAUGUGGAUAUGGAAGAGUCCAUUGAGGACAUGGACGUUGAUUAAGAAGGUGCGAUGGACAUCACAGAGUGGGACACCACCCUUUUGUAUAUAUGUUCACAGUUCGUUGUUGUUCUUUAGAAGAUAGAUUUUAGGCCUGUUUUUGACUUCUGUAAAUACGUUUCAGAUAGUUUUGUUAGGUAGGUUUUUAUGUAUAUAUGUUCUAUUGAUUGUUGUUGUUACAUUGUUCUUACAAUGUAAAUAUGUUCUGUAUUUUUGCUGUUCUUCUGUAAUAAACAAAUUUUAUUUUUCACA